UUCCUUAGUAGCUCAGGGGUAGAGUGGUCGGCUGUUAACCGAUUGGUCGUAGGUUCAAAUCCUUCUUGAGGAGA
Molecule: transfer RNA, 74 nt
Filed under: Medicago truncatula (barrel medic)
Lineage: Eukaryota; Viridiplantae; Streptophyta; Magnoliopsida; Fabales; Fabaceae
Description: tRNA gene41503
Rfam family: tRNA
About the family: Transfer RNA (tRNA) molecules are approximately 80 nucleotides in length.
Source: RNAcentral